Molecule: long non-coding RNA, 2327 nt
Filed under: Calidris pugnax (ruff)
Lineage: Eukaryota; Metazoa; Chordata; Aves; Charadriiformes; Scolopacidae
Description: lncRNA (ENSCPUG00000008367.1)
Source: RNAcentral
UUUAUCCAAAUUUUCCACCUUCUAUCCCCUUUUCUCCCCACCUUCUAUCCACUUUUCCACCUUUUAUCCACUUGCUUCCCACUUUUUCCACCUUUUAUCCCCCUUUUUCCAUCUUUCCUCCAUCUUCUACCCACUUUUUUCCAUAUUUCUUCCACCUUUUAUCCCUUUUUCCACCUUUUACUCACUCUUUUCCACUUUUUCCCUACUUUUUUCCACCUUUCUUCCACCUUUUAUCCACCCUUUCCCCUUCCUCCACCUUUUAUCCACUUUUUUCUUCCCACCUUUCCUGGACUUUUUAUCCACUUUUCUCCCAACUUUUACCCAUUUUUUUCAACCUUUCAUCCACCUUUUAUCCAUUUUCACCUUUUAUCCACUUUUCCCAUCCUUUAUCCAUCUUUUCUCACCCUUUAUCCACUUUUAUCCACUUUUCCCACCCUUUAUCCACUUUUAUCCACCUUUCCUCCACUUUUCCCACCUUUUAUCCACUUUUUCCCCCUUUCCCCACCUUUUAUCCACUUUUUACCCUUCCUCCACCUUUUAUACACUUUUUUCUUCCCACCUUUCCUCCACCCUUUAUCCACUUUUUCCCACCUUCUAUCCACUUUUCCCCAACUUUUAUCCACUUUUCCCACCUUAUAUCCAAUUUUUCCACUUUUUCCACCCUUUAUCCACUUUUUCCACCUUUCAACCACUUUUUUCCACCCCUUGUUCACCUUUUAGCCACUUUCCCCACUCUUUAUCCACUUUUUUCCACCCUUUGUCCACUUUUUAUCCACUUUUCCCCACUCUUUAUCCACUUUUUUCCACCCUUUAUCCACUUUUUUCCACCUUUUUUCCCCUUUUUUAUCCACUUUUUCCACGCUUUGUCCACUUUUCCCACCUUUCAUCCCUUUUUUUCCACCUUUUGUCCACCUUUUAUCCACUUUUCCCACCCUUUAUCCACUUUUUUCCACCUUUUACCCCCUUUUUAUCCACUUUUUCCACCUUUUAUCCACCUUUUUAUCCACUUUGUCCACCCUUUGUCCCCUUUUGAUCCACCUUCCCCACCCUUCCUCCACUUCCCUUCCCUCUUCAUCCUUUUUAUUAUUACUACUUUCAUUUUUUUAUUAUUUUUUUUCCAACUCCCCCUCCCUCCUCCCUUUCCCUUCCCCCUCCCCUCUAUCCCCCAUCCCACCUUUCCCCCACCCUUCAUCCACUUUUUUCCACCUUUUAUCCACUUUUUACCCACUUUCCCCACCCUUUAUCCACUUUCCCCACCUUUCAACCACUUUUUUCCACACUUUACCCACCUUUUAUCCACUUUUCCCACCCUUUAUCCACUUUUUAUCCACUUUCCCCUCCCUUUAUCCACCUUUUAUCCACUUUUUCCACCCUUUGUUCACCUUUUAGCCACUUUUCCCACCCUUCAUCCACUUUUUUCCACCCUUUAUCCCCUUUUCCCCACCUUUUAUCCACUUUUUUCCACCCUUUAUCUACUUUUUAUCCACUUUCCCCACCCUUUAUCCACUUUUCCCCACCUUUUAUCCAUUUUUUCCACCCUUUGUUCAUCUUUUAGCCACUUUUUUCCACCCUUUAUCCACUUUUUAUCCACUUUUUCCACCCUUUGUCUGCUUUUCCCACCCUUUAUCCACCUUUUAUCUGCUUUUCCGACUUUUUAUCCACUUUCUUCCACCCUUUAUCCACUUUUUUCUACCUUUUAUCCCCUUUUUAUCCACUUUCCCCACCCUCUAUCCACUUUCCCCAUCUUUCAACCACUUUUUUCCACCCUUUGUUCACUUUUUAUCCACUUUUCCCAUCCUUUAUCCACUUUUCCCACCCUUUAUCCACCUUUUAUCUGCUUUUCCCACUUUUUAUCCACUUUUUUCCACCCUUUGUCCACCUUUUAUCCACUUUUCCCCACCUUUUAUCCACUUUUUCCACCCUUUGUUCCCCUUUUAGCCACUUUUCCCACCCUUUAUCCACUUUUUUCCACCCUUUGUCCACUUUUUCCACCCUUUGUCCACUUUUUCCCACCUUUUAUCCCCUUUUUAUCCCCUUUUCCCACCCUUUAUCCACCUUUUAUCUGCUUUUCCCACUUUUUAUCCACUUUUUUCCACCUUUUUUCCCCUUUUUUAUCCACUUUUUCCACGCUUUGUCCACUUUUCCCACCUUUCAUCCCUUUUUUUCCACCUUUUGUCCACCUUUUAUCCACUUUUCCCACCCUUUAUCCACUUUUUUCCACCUUUUACCCCCUUUUUAUCCACUUUUUCCACCUUUUAUCCCUUUUUUUCACAGGCAUUCCAGCAACAGAUAAUGACCACCAUGACCACUGAACAGAAAUGAGAAGA